GAGGAGGACAGAGGUUCAACCACAAUCAACUACUCAAUCAGGUGGGUACUAAAAACAGAGAGGGAGUGAGAGGGGGGGGGGGGUAGAGAGAGAAAGAAGAGAAGAGGAGGACAGAGGUUCAACCACAAUCAACUACUCAAUCAGGUGGGUACUAAAAACAGAGAGGGAGUGAGAGGGGGGGGGGAGGGUAGAGA
Long non-coding RNA from Lytechinus variegatus (green sea urchin), 194 nucleotides. RefSeq lists it as uncharacterized. NCBI's taxonomy places the organism in Eukaryota, Metazoa, Echinodermata, Echinoidea, Temnopleuroida, Toxopneustidae. The transcript has 2 exons. The record is from RefSeq and is a predicted model, not a curated record.